UACAGAGGGUGCGAGCGUUAAUCGGAAUUACUGGGCGUAAAGCGCGCGUAGGCGGCUUUGCAAGUCGGGUGUGAAAUCCCCAGGCUUAACCGGGGAACUGCGUCCGAUACUGGAGGGCUUGAGUGUGGGAGAGGGAUGCGGAAUUCCAGGUGUAGCGGUGAAAUGCGUAGAUAUCUGGAGGAACACCGGUGGCGAAGGCGGGACUCUGGGCCGAUACUGACGCUGAGGAGCGAAAGCGUGGGGAGCAAACAGG
RNAcentral lists this ribosomal RNA (253 nucleotides) under uncultured bacterium. RNAcentral's name for it is "partial 16S ribosomal RNA". It matches the Rfam family "Bacterial small subunit ribosomal RNA", at positions 524 to 776 of the family's 1533-position model. The record is from RNAcentral.